RNAcentral lists this unclassified non-coding RNA (834 nucleotides) under Hevea brasiliensis (rubber tree). Lineage: Eukaryota; Viridiplantae; Streptophyta; Magnoliopsida; Malpighiales; Euphorbiaceae. The record is from RNAcentral.
UGCAGCACCAACAUUUUCUUCCAUGAGUUUAGCCACUUGCCUUUCUGUGCCAUCACUUGACCACUUUUCCCAAGCUGGUUGGUUAUUAUUUCCACCUUCACUGCUCUCUUCCUCUACUGAUGAUAUUGGAAUGUCUGUAACAAGUGGUGCUACUGCACCAGCUCCUCCUAACCUACUCAUGCUCAACACCUUCACUUGCAGCCGUAGGAAUUUGACAUAAUCUACAAUUUCAUCAAGCAUUACAGCUCUAUCAGUCUUAUUGACACUGGGAACCAACUCUUGCAAUGCUCUAAUUCUUUCUGCUAUCCUCUCUCUACGUAACCUCUCCGCUAUGCUAUGUGGAUCAGUAGCUUGUCCUCGCCUAGCUCUCACCCUUGGACGUAUUGCAGGGGGAUGCGGCAUUGAAGGCAUCGGUUGUCCAUGAAAACCAGGUUUGACAGAAGAAGAAGCUCUGCUAUCAACAACAUCAUCUCUAAACCUCCUUCCAGGUGCUGAAACAUCAUCCAUCUUCAAGAACCCACCUUUCCCUUGUUCUAAACUCAACCCUAAAGGAAAAGAACCACCCCCACCAUGACCAUGGAACCCCCCACCACCUAAACCAACCCCAAGACCCACUCCAGUAAACUGACUUGACCCAUCACCAGAGUUAAGCUGGAGCAUCAUCGCCGGCGGUAUAGCUCCGGCAUCAUUUCCCGCCAAAUUAGGUUCUGCUCCAUUGUAAGCAGGAAAUCCCAAGAUUUGGUCAAAGAAAUCAUCAGAAGGUCCCUCAGAAGGGUUGUUAGCCAUAGCAGAAACUAUAAAGAUUCAAUCUUUCUUGGAUCGGAGCUGUUUUCG